GGAUGACAGAGAUACACUACAAAUGCAAGUACAAUCCCUUAAAGAGUCUGUUGAGACCCACAACACAUACCUCUCAAUGCUACAAAGAUCCCUCGACGACAUUGAUAACACGUUGGCGCAACAAUCUCAGAGUGAGGGGCAUCCCAGAAAAUGAUCAGGAAUACCUCCAGCUUGUUCUAAGGGAGCUAUUCAACUUGGUAAUGAGCAAACGGUCUGACGCACCACUCCACUUUGACAGAGCACACUGCACUGAAGCCAAAGGGCCAUCCAGUUUACAUUUGCCGUCUUCAUUACUUUGCAUGCAAAAAGGGAAAACCUUGUGGUCCUCAGGUAGUUGACACAGCCUCUACUAUUUCACAAUGCUCCAAUUAGUAUCUACCCAGACUUAUACUGCCAGAUCCUGAGACCCAUCACAGACCAACUCCGCUCUAGAAACCUGGGGUACCUAUGGGGCUUUCCCCUGGCACUGAGUGUCUCCUACAAGGGCAUCACUCACUGACAUCCCACCAUUCCUACAGGUCCUAAACUUACCAGAAAUACACGUACCAGAUUGGUACAGUCCACUACAAAUGCCAUCUAUACCUCAGCUGCCACAACGUCCUCACUAACAACAAACUCCCAAGAAACGGAAAACUGAACUACCUGAACCCACUAAGCACUAAACCAGGGAUAGACAACCUUCGGCACUGCAGAUUUUUUGGACUUCACCUACUUUGCUGCUUUGCCAGCAUUAUGGGUGAUGUAGUCCACAACAUUUGGAGUGCUGAAGGUUGCCUACUCCUGAAUUAAAGGAACACUAUAGUCACCUAAACUACUUAAGCUAAAUAAAGCAGUUUUAGUGUAUAGAUCAUUCCCCUGCAAUUUCACUGCUCAAUUCACUGUCAUUUAGGAGUUAAAUCACUUUGUUUCUGUUUAUGCAGCACUAGCCACACCUCCUCUGGCUAUGAUUGACAGAGCCUACAUAAAAAAAAAAAAAAAUUGGUUUCACUUUCAAACAGAUGUAAUUUACCUUAAAUCAUUGUAUCUCAAUCUCUAAAUUGAACUUUAAUCACAUACAGGAGGCUCUUGCAGGGUCUUGCAAGCUAUUAACAUAGCAGGGGAUAAGAAAAUCUUAAUUAAACAGAACUUGCAAUAAAGAAAGCCUAAAUAGGGCUCUCUUUACAGGAAGUGUUUAUGGAAGGCUGUGCAAGUCACAUGCAGGGAGGUGUGACUAGGGUUCAUAAACAAAGGGAUUUAUCUCCUAAAUGGCAGAGGAUUGAGCAGUGAGACUGCAGGGGCAUGUUCUAUACACCAAAACUGCUUCAUUAAGCUAAAGUUGUUCAGGUGACUACAGUGUCCCUUUAAACUACGUCCGUGAUAGACUCUGCAAGAAUGACCCACUUCCACGGCCCAAACCUCUCCUUCAAAGAGGACUUAUUACUGGACUUUGCGUUGCACCCCUGGUAAUGAACUGCCACACACAAAAAUGUAGUUAUUAACCCUAUACUGAAAAAGGCAACACCACUUCUCAACAGAAGAUACACAACCUGUUAUGCCUACUGAUAAAUCAAGCUUUGGGUAUCUAUUCACCCUUCUCUUAUCUCCCGACCCUGUAAUUCACUGAGUGAGAGAGUUAGUUUAUACUGAAGCCAGACUUCCAGGCAACUUGUGUGUGACUUCUCACACCUUGCAGAGUGACUCUGUUGGGGUCCCAGCUUCAAAGUGGAAUUUGGGUUGUAAGCUCUAACCUCUCAUGCAUUUAAAUUAGCCCCUUUUGAAAAUGUAUUUUUGGGGUGUUUAUGAUUAUUGUAUAUUUGUCUGUAGAGGAUCCUGGGAGAAAAAGCCUUGUAUUAUUGUAUGGGAGAACCCAUGUAGGGGUCUAUGCAUAAAAGCCGUGUGUGGCCAAAAUAAAAUCAGUUGACUCCCAGAACUAUAUGUCGUCUAGUUGCUGGGGGGGAAAGUGUCUUGGAUUAUUAUACUGCUUCUUUCAGCUAAGAGGAAGGAAUAGUGGAGAUAGCUAUGCUAGGUAUUGGAGCUCCGCUACACUGUCC
This is a non-coding RNA of Pelobates cultripes (western spadefoot toad), 2030 nucleotides long. NCBI's taxonomy places the organism in Eukaryota, Metazoa, Chordata, Amphibia, Anura, Pelobatidae. The record is from the annotation of a GenBank genome assembly.